RNAcentral lists this long non-coding RNA (1447 nucleotides) under Marmota monax (woodchuck). Lineage: Eukaryota; Metazoa; Chordata; Mammalia; Rodentia; Sciuridae. The record is from RNAcentral.
CAGCAGAGCAAGUCUCAAAUCUGCCUCCACAGUAAUAGAUUCUGGAGACAUCUGCAGCAUGGGCGAUCGCAGGCUAAGAGCAGAUGAAGUGGGCUAAGCCUGGGGGGCCUAAUCAGGUUUUCCAGCUCCGGGGCCUCCAGGCCUCCUCAUAUCUAUGGUCUUCCUUGACCUGCAGGUUCAGCGUUGACUGUCACAUCUGGAAGCCAGUUGUGGCCCUCAGCAGAAGGCACGGAAGGAUGUCAAAGUCUCCAGGCUGGAGCCCAAGUCAACCUCAAUGGCCGCUUCCACCAGCCCUCUGCUGCAGAUGCCUUCCUCGCUGUCACCAGAUGAUCGCGGCUCCUAUUUUAUGGAGAAGUGAAAUGAGAACUGUGCCAGCCGCUCUGUCCUCACCAGCUCUCAUCUCUGGCUUCUCUAACUGCCAUGGGCCAUCACCCCAAAGGCAGAGGCUGACUCAGGCCCAGGCUGACUCCUGCGCCCUCCUGGACAGUCCUUCCCGUUUCCUCUUGACCUGUUCCAUGGCUUAGCCCCUCUCCUGCACCGCCAACUUCCCUGUCCAAGGACCCUCUGUUCAGUGUUCAAAAACACACUAGGUCUCCCACGGGGUGGGGACCUGCCAACCUCGGACCACUUCCUCUUCACUCCUGCAGUCCACGCUCAAGUUUCUUGAAAGAGCUGUUGACACCCAGUCUGACUUCCCCCUCCACUGCUUUUUCACCUACUUGUCUGCUGCCACAGAGACUUGCCAUCGCCAAGGCCACCAACCAUCUCCUGAUCACACAUCAAACACAUUUUGGCGGCCACCUGAAGCUGCUGACCGCUCCCUCCCUCUGAACACCUCUCUUUGGAAUCUAACAGGGACCUGCUCUCCCCCGUCCUCUUCCUCUCUCCAGCUUUCUCUCUUGAUCCCCUUCAGGGCAUCUCUUCUCUUGCUGGACAGGUCAAGGGUCAAGUCGCCCCUUCCCCAGGCACCCCCACCAGCCACCCUGUCUCAUCCACAUCUGCUGAACAACUCCCCGCCUGCCUCUGGGGCCCAGAUCUGCCCCUGUGCUUCUGGCUUCUGACCCACACGCCCCAUUGCUGGCUCCCAAGGUGGACACUCUCCCAGCCCUAUUCUGGGGUUUGAGGAGUGCCCCACCGGCAAUUGUCACAGCCUAACUAUUUCUAUCACUUCUGUCACAUUCUAUUGGUAAAACACUUGCAGGACUGUCCUCGAGUCCAUGGGGAGGGGACCGUUGUUAUGGACAGUUGCAAAGAUAUGAAGCUGUCUCUGACCCACCACGGAGGACAGGCAGGUGAUGUGGUUGUCUGAUACAGAGUGACCUUCGUCGCCAUGCAGGAAUGUCAAACCUGAUUUCCCAAGAUAAAUUAAAGCUAUGGAUUUUCAUGUGAAAGCUCCAGAUCUUUUAAUGUUGGCAGCUAAUUCUAAAACUUCUAAAAAUGUCGUGUG